This 327-nucleotide ribosomal RNA is filed under the name Junicus gerhardi. Its description in RNAcentral is "partial 12S ribosomal RNA". The record is from RNAcentral. Lineage: Eukaryota; Metazoa; Arthropoda; Arachnida; Opiliones; Gonyleptidae.
CCCUAGUAUAGUAGAAAUAGGAAUGAAAUUAGUAAUUAUUUGAAAUUUAAUGAUUUUGGCGGUCAAUUAUAGAUUUAGAGGAGCUUGUUUUAGGGAUAAGAAUUAACUCUUUAAAUUUUAAUAAUAAUUAGUUUAUUCAUCUCCGUUAGUAGAUUUGUAAUUAAUUAAGAUUAUAUAUCUUAAAUUUCAGGUCAAGAUGUAGUAUUUAUUUAAUAGAAAUUAGCUACAAUUAUAAAGUAAUGGAAUUAAUAAAGGAAGGGUUUUAGGAAAUUGAAUUUAAUUGUAAUAGGUACUAGAAAGUUAUUAUGAAAUAGUAUAGUUGAUGUA